Molecule: ribosomal RNA, 543 nt
Filed under: Staphylococcus aureus
Lineage: Bacteria; Bacillati; Bacillota; Bacilli; Caryophanales; Staphylococcaceae
Description: partial 23S ribosomal RNA
Rfam family: Bacterial large subunit ribosomal RNA
Source: RNAcentral
ACCUACAAGUCGAGCAGGGUCGAAAGACGGACUUAGUGAUCCGGUGGUUCCGCAUGGAAGGGCCAUCGCUCAACGGAUAAAAGCUACCCCGGGGAUAACAGGCUUAUCUCCCCCAAGAGUUCACAUCGACGGGGAGGUUUGGCACCUCGAUGUCGGCUCAUCGCAUCCUGGGGCUGUAGUCGGUCCCAAGGGUUGGGCUGUUCGCCCAUUAAAGCGGUACGCGAGCUGGGUUCAGAACGUCGUGAGACAGUUCGGUCCCUAUCCGUCGUGGGCGUAGGAAAUUUGAGAGGAGCUGUCCUUAGUACGAGAGGACCGGGAUGGACAUACCUCUGGUGUACCAGUUGUCGUGCCAACGGCAUAGCUGGGUAGCUAUGUGUGGACGGGAUAAGUGCUGAAAGCAUCUAAGCAUGAAGCCCCCCUCAAGAUGAGAUUUCCCAACUUCGGUUAUAAGAUCCCUCAAAGAUGAUGAGGUUAAUAGGUUCGAGGUGGAAGCAUGGUGACAUGUGGAGCUGACGAAUACUAAUCGAUCGAAGACUUAAUCAA